CAGUCUCUAAGUUACUUCUCACAAGACGCAUGUCCGUUCUCUCCUUCUCCACGUGGUUCUUUCUAACCCAAGCAAGAAAACGGUUGUGUUAGGUUCACCGCUGUUCAUAAGCUUUGAAUACGUCGGCCUAACUUUUAUAACAGCAAAAUGUCGUACAAGAAGGAAGGAGUACAGGAAGAGUCUCAGGUCCACAAGAUCAGGAUCACUCUCACCAGCCGAAACGUCAAAAGUCUUGAGAAAGUGUGUGGCGACCUCAUUCGUCGGGCCAAGGACUCUGACCUCAAAGUGAAGGCCUAAGGUCCUGAAGAUCACCACCAGGAAGACCCCCUGUGGUGAGGGCUCCAAGACUUAGGACAGGUUCGAGAUGAAAAUCUACAAGCGUGUCAUUGAUUUGCACAGUGCUGCCGAGACUGUGAAGCAAAUCGUAUCCUGAAAUAUUUAUUUU
Long non-coding RNA from Halichondria panicea, 445 nucleotides. RefSeq lists it as uncharacterized. Lineage: Eukaryota; Metazoa; Porifera; Demospongiae; Suberitida; Halichondriidae. The record is from RefSeq and is a predicted model, not a curated record. The transcript has 3 exons.